GACGGAGGGUGCAAGCGUUGUUCGGAAUUACUGGGCGUAAAGGGCGUGUAGGCUGCUGUGUCAGUCAGGCGUGAAAGCCCCGGGCUUAACCUGGGAACCGCGUUUGAUACUGCACAGCUAGAGGACUGGAGAGGAAAGUGGAAUUCCUAGUGUAGAGGUGAAAUUCGUAGAUAUUAGGAGGAACACCAGUGGCGAAAGCGGCUUUCUGGACAGUUACUGACGCUGAGGCGCGAAAGCGUGGGGAGCAAACAGG
This 253-nucleotide ribosomal RNA is filed under the name uncultured bacterium. RNAcentral's name for it is "partial 16S ribosomal RNA". It matches the Rfam family "Bacterial small subunit ribosomal RNA", at positions 524 to 776 of the family's 1533-position model. The record is from RNAcentral.